AUUGAACGCUGGCGGCAGGCCUAACACAUGCAAGUCGAGCGGAUGAAGGGAGCUUGCUCCUGGAUUCAGCGGCGGACGGGUGAGUAAUGCCUAGGAAUCUGCCUGGUAGUGGGGGAUAACGUCCGGAAACGGGCGCUAAUACCGCAUACGUCCUGAGGGAGAAAGUGGGGGAUCUUCGGACCUCACGCUAUCAGAUGAGCCUAGGUCGGAUUAGCUAGUUGGUGGGGUAAAGGCCUACCAAGGCGACGAUCCGUAACUGGUCUGAGAGGAUGAUCAGUCAAACCGGAACUGAGACACGGUCCAGACUCCUACGGGAGGCAGCAGUGGGGAAUAUUGGACAAUGGGCGAAAGCCUGAUCCAGCCAUGCCGCGUGUGUGAAGAAGGUCUUCGGAUUGUAAAGCACUUUAAGUUGGGAGGAAGGGCAGUAAGUUAAUACCUUGCUGUUUUGACGUUACCAACAGAAUAAGCACCGGCUAACUUCGUG
RNAcentral lists this ribosomal RNA (484 nucleotides) under uncultured bacterium. RNAcentral's name for it is "partial 16S ribosomal RNA". It matches the Rfam family "Bacterial small subunit ribosomal RNA", at positions 30 to 507 of the family's 1533-position model. The record is from RNAcentral.